GAUGAACGCUGGCGGCGUGCCUAACACAUGCAAGUCGAACGGACUUACAUUGAAGCCUAGCGAUAUGUAAGUUAGUGGCGGACGGGUGAGUAACGCGUGGGUAACCUGCCUUGUACUGGGGGACAACAGUUGGAAACGACUGCUAAUACCGCAUAAGCGCACAGCUUCGCAUGAAGCAGUGUGAAAAACUCCGGUGGUACAAGAUGGACCCGCGUCUGAUUAGCUGGUUGGUGAGGUAACGGCCGACCAAGGCGACGGUCAGUAGACGGGCUUGGAGGGUGAACGGACACAUUGGGACUGGGACACGGCCCGAAAUCCUACGGGAGGCAGCAGUGGGGAAUAUUGCACAAUGGGGGAAACCCUGAUGCAGCAACGCCGCGUGAGUGGAGAAGUAUUUCGGUAUGUAAAGCUCUAUCAGCAGGAAAGAAAAUGACGGUACCUGACUAAGAAGCCCCGGCUAACUACGUGCCAGCCGCCGCGGUAA
This 484-nucleotide ribosomal RNA is filed under the name uncultured bacterium. RNAcentral's name for it is "partial 16S ribosomal RNA". It matches the Rfam family "Bacterial small subunit ribosomal RNA", at positions 28 to 523 of the family's 1533-position model. The record is from RNAcentral.